Long non-coding RNA from Crotalus tigris (Tiger rattlesnake), 690 nucleotides. RefSeq lists it as uncharacterized. The transcript is spliced from 2 exons. The record is from RefSeq and is a predicted model, not a curated record. Lineage: Eukaryota; Metazoa; Chordata; Lepidosauria; Squamata; Viperidae.
GUGCCGCCCUGGACCACGUGGCCGCGGGUCAGCUGGGCCAGGGGUAGGCCACCUGGGCUCUUUUAUGACUCGUGGACUUCAACUCCCAGAAUUCCUGAGCCACCAUGCUGAGGGGAAAGGGAGAGGUUUCCAAGCUGAGCCAUGCUGCCUCAGGAAUUCUGGGAGUUGAAGUCCACGAGUCAUAAAAGAGCCAAGGUGGUCUGCCGCUGACUGGGCGGUCUCCCUGGGUUUCCCUCCGGGCGUGGGCUGCUGCGGUCCCAUCCUCCCCGGCCAACAAGGUUAUUGCAUAUGGACCCACGCCUCCGGGGAAAGUCCCGCCGCCUGGGCAGCGGAGGCGGGCGAGCUUCACCUACCUAACAUCUGCCUGUUGCAAAGAGGAGAAGGAAAACGCGUGCAGAGGAUGCGCUGCUGGCGAGGCUCAGGUGCAGCGUGUGCAAAAGGCGACGUUCCUCUGAGAAUGUGCGAAGUGCACCUAAGGAAGCCCCAGGCAGCCUGAGAUGGGAAGGGGCAGAUCCAUCAAAGCACCGGAAAGUCAACUAAAGUAAAGGAAGCCUUAAGUUCAAUUAUCUUUGAACAAGGAGAGGCUACCAGGACAGUCCUCUGAACAGCAGUUGCAAAAAGGCUGUAAUCCAGCCACGUCCCAUCACUAAGUCCAAAGUAGCACAAAAAAAAAAAAAAAAAAAAGCCAAC